CAUUACACAAAAAAAGGGUCAAGAAGGAGAAACCAAAAAUUCUACAACUAUUCUGUGCUAGGGGUGUUCUUGGAGGACAUAUUGGAUUCAAUCAAUGACAUCCCCAGGCCAUGAGCUAAUAGAGGUGCAGACAUAGAGUUUCAGAUAAUCAUCAUGAGAGUCACAAAUCAAAGAGGUUCUUGAGAAGUUCUUUUGGUUGAUAAGAUGGGUCUGCUAUUUCAAUGGGUAUGGUUAAAAAAUUAGUCUGCUUCUGUGGGAGUGAGUCACUGCUGAUAUGUUUGAUUAAAAGGGAUUGCGUUAUUUGUAGAAUAAAUCUAUAAUUCACUCUGAAGUGUUUCUGAGACCCUGCCUUGAGUAGGGAUUUGAUUUAGAUACAGUUGUUUUUUCUGUUAGUUUAAUAGACUUGCUUAAUGAAACAAGAAUAUUUUGGAUUGGGUUUA
This is a long non-coding RNA of Papaver somniferum (opium poppy), 440 nucleotides long. RefSeq lists it as uncharacterized. NCBI's taxonomy places the organism in Eukaryota, Viridiplantae, Streptophyta, Magnoliopsida, Ranunculales, Papaveraceae. The record is from RefSeq and is a predicted model, not a curated record. The transcript is spliced from 2 exons.